CAGUCAUGUCUAGCGAGGAAUCAACUUGGUGGUGUGAGUCUCUCAUCUCCUCCGUGUGCACUUCCUCGUCUGGCAGGUUAAGCAUCAAUUUUGAUUGUCAUCAAAUAAUUGGGGUAAUGUGGCUUCCCUUCGGUGGAGUGUUAUAGACCCUGGUGGAUGUGGCGAUUGGGAUUUGAGGAUUGACAGCGGAUGCCUCUUAGGCUAGUCAACCUGAUUCCUG
RNAcentral lists this ribosomal RNA (220 nucleotides) under uncultured Glomeromycotina. RNAcentral's name for it is "partial large subunit ribosomal RNA". Lineage: Eukaryota; Fungi; Glomeromycota. The record is from RNAcentral.